AUUGAACGCUGGCGGCAGGCCUAACACAUGCAAGUCGAACGAGUGGCGGACGUGUUAGUAAUGUCUGGUAAACUUCCUGAUGGAUGGGGAUAUCUACUGGAAACUGUUGCUACUACCGCAUUCCAUCGGAUGUGCCCAGGUGGGCGUAGUUCGUAGGUGGGGUAAAGGCUCACCUAGGCGACGAUCCGUAGCUGGUCUGAGAGGAUGACCAGCCACACUGGAACUGAGACACGGUCCAGACUCCUACGGGAGGCAGCAGUGGGGAGUAUUGGACAAUGGGCGCAAGCCUGAUGCAGCCAUGCCGCGUGUAUGAAGAAGGCCUUCGGGUUGUAAAGUACUUUCAGCGGGGAGGCGUUAACAGCAGAAGAAGCACCGGCUAACUCCGUGCCAGCAGCCGCGGUAAUAC
Molecule: ribosomal RNA, 406 nt
Filed under: uncultured bacterium
Lineage: Bacteria
Description: partial 16S ribosomal RNA
Rfam family: Bacterial small subunit ribosomal RNA
Source: RNAcentral